Molecule: long non-coding RNA, 983 nt
Filed under: Panax ginseng (ginseng)
Lineage: Eukaryota; Viridiplantae; Streptophyta; Magnoliopsida; Apiales; Araliaceae
Description: long non-coding RNA (PGIN_LNC018164)
Source: RNAcentral
CAGUGUUCAAGGGGUCAACUUUGACCACUUCUAAUUCUCUGUUCUUGCAUGCUCUAGUCAAUCCCAAGCAUUGAUCUUGUAGUAUACAUGUAGUACUACAAUUAUCCACCAUCACCUUGGUCAUACAACAUAUAAGAUGUAAGAUCUGAGCCUUUAAAAUCAUUGUCAGGGCUAUUUUGGGUUUUCUGGGUAACCCAAAAACCCAGUCAGCUUCAAGUAGGCACUUUGUGGCUUAAAAAACUUAGGGUUCUGGUUGAUGUUAUAGUGGUAUAAUGGAACCAAAUUGUAGUCUACACGACAUAUUAUAAAUACCAUUCAUCAUAUCAGUCCAACGAAAUCAGAAUCAUUAGAUAUCAUACGGUCAAACCUUGUCAGAAGUGAUGGUCUUAAGUUUUCUGGGUUUCCUAGAAAAUCGAGUUCAUGAUCAAGUAAGCUCGUUUGACCAUCCAUUACAUUCAGUCUGUUGGUUUUCUAAGAUAUAUAAAGGCUGGGAUCUAAAGUCCAUUUAACAGGCUAUACACUAGAUACAAUAACAUCUCCAAAUCUCCUAACAUCUGACAGCUAUUGGCCUUAGAAAAUCUUGUCAGACCCUGAUAUUGAGUUUCUGGGUUGCCCAGAAACUCUUGGUCAUGCUCGGUCAACUAUGUUUGACCAAGAAUAUCUUGUAACCUGGAUCUGAUCUAAGCAUGAUUUCAAGUCCAGAUUAAAGUCCUUAUGGAAAACUACAAGUCUAAAACAUAAAACACACAAAAUCAUAAAUAGAGAGAGAUCUACAGCCUCUGACUUUUGCUUGUCAGACACAAAUUUAGGGUUCAUGUCAGUUUUGAAAAACUUUGAUUUUAAGGCACUUUGCUGUUAUAGAUCUAUGAUGGAUCAUCAUAGAUCAUCUUAAAACAUUUUCUAACACAUGAAUCAACACAUAAACAACACUUUGGACUUAGCAUACAAGAUCAAAGUAGGUUUAGGGCUUAUAUACCUUCUAG